RNAcentral lists this ribosomal RNA (910 nucleotides) under Ophiocordyceps kimflemingiae. RNAcentral's name for it is "eukaryotic LSU rRNA". It matches the Rfam family "Eukaryotic large subunit ribosomal RNA", at positions 36 to 964 of the family's 3401-position model. Lineage: Eukaryota; Fungi; Ascomycota; Sordariomycetes; Hypocreales; Ophiocordycipitaceae. The record is from RNAcentral.
AAGCAUAUCAAUAAGCGGAGGAAAAGAAACCAACAGGGAUUGCCCCAGUAACGGCGAGUGAAGCGGCAACAGCUCAGAUUUGAAAUCCGGCGCCCCCCGGGGCGCCCGAGUUGUAAUCUGCAGAGGAUGCUUCUGGCGGGGCGCCUUCCGAGUUCCCUGGAACGGGACGCCGCAGAGGGUGAGAGCCCCGUACGGUCGGACGCCGAGCCUGUGUGAAGCUCCUUCGGCGAGUCGAGUAGUUUGGGAAUGCUGCUCAAAACGGGAGGUAUACGCCUUCUAAAGCUAAAUACCGGCCAGAGACCGAUAGCGCACAAGUAGAGUGAUCGAAAGAUGAAAAGCACUUUGAAAAGAGGGUUAAACAGUACGUGAAAUUGUUGAAAGGGAAGCGCUCGCGGCCAGACUCGGGCCCGGGGGAUCAUCCGGCGCUCGCGCCGGUGCACUCCGCCGGGCUCCGGGCCAGCAUCGGCUCGCGGCGGGGGACAAAGGCGCCGGGAACGUGGCUCCCCAGGGAGUGUUAUAGCCCGGCGUGCCAUGCCCCGCGGCGGGCCGAGGUACGCGCGUCCGCAAGGAUGCUGGCGUAAUGGCCACCAGUGACCCGUCUUGAAACACGGACCAAGGAGUCGUCUUCGUAUGCGAGUGUUCGGGCGUCAAACCCGUACGCGGAAUGAAAGUGAACGCGGGUGGGAGCCCCUCGCGGGGCGCACCGCCGACCGAUCCUGAUGUUCUCGGAUGGAUUUGAGUAGGAGCAUACGGGGCCGGACCCGAAAGAAGGUGAACUAUGCCUGUGUAGGGUGAAGCCAGAGGAAACUCUGGUGGAGGCUCGCAGCGGUUCUGACGUGCAAAUCGAUCGUCAAACAUGGGCAUGGGGGCGAAAGACUAAUCGAACCUUCUAGUAGCUGGUUCCCGCCGA